CAAUAGCGUAUAUUAAAGUUGUUGCGGUUAAAAAGCUCGUAGUUGGAUUUCUGCUGAGAACGACCGGUCCGCCCUUUGGGUGUGUAUCUGGCUCUUUCUUGGCAUCUUCUUGGUGAACGUUGCUGCACUUGACUGUGUGGAGCGCUACCCAGGACUUUUACUUUGAGGAAAUUAGAGUGUUUCAAGCAGGCAUACGCCUUGAAUACAUUAGCAUGGAAUAAUAAGAUAGGACCUCGGUUCUAUUUUGUUGGUUUCUAGAGCUGAGGUAAUGAUUAAUAGGGAUAGUUGGGGGUAUUCGUAUUUAACUGUCAGAGGUGAAAUUCUUGGAUUUUUUAAAGACGAACAAUUGCGAAGGCAUCUACCCAGGAUGUUUUUGUUGA
RNAcentral lists this ribosomal RNA (380 nucleotides) under uncultured eukaryote. RNAcentral describes it as "partial 18S ribosomal RNA". It matches the Rfam family "Eukaryotic small subunit ribosomal RNA", at positions 592 to 976 of the family's 1831-position model. The record is from RNAcentral.